This 1845-nucleotide long non-coding RNA is filed under the name Bemisia tabaci. RNAcentral describes it as "lncRNA ENSSWEETPG004037". The record is from RNAcentral. Lineage: Eukaryota; Metazoa; Arthropoda; Insecta; Hemiptera; Aleyrodidae.
AGAAGUAAAAUACCUAUGCAUGAAAAAUAAAAACACAAUUCAUUUGAAUUUUAUCUGGAUAACUGGAUAGAAGGCUAUACGUGAGAAAGAACACAGAAUUAUUAGCGUGAACGAAACAGGAGUCGGGAUAUAAUAGGGGUUGCUGUCCCCACAGCCCCCAGCAUCCAGGCUAAUUGUAAGACAAUUUUUUUGAAGAAUUUGUUUGAAAAAAAAUCUUCCGUCGCAUUGGUAAGGCGCAACGCUACAACUAUUCGUACUCUCCGGAAUGCGUGAGGUAUCACGCCUCAAUUGAAGGCGUUUUCAAAACCGCCAAGUUUCGAUACUGGGAUUGUCGAUUCGCACGAAGUUCGGAGCCCGAAUCAAUGGAACGACUUAUUUUACGGGCUAAUGUAACACUUCUGUGCACAUCUCCUUGUUUUAAUUUGACACAGAAAUGUCUCAAAGUAAAUAAAACAUAAUGUAAGACACCUGAGUUUCGUCAUCAAUAAUGUACAAUACAGCUGAUAUGACUAAGGUUUAGUUCAGCUCUGUGCCGACAGAGCCCGCAUGGGCGCAAAGUUGAUUCCGAUUCCAAACAACCUUCCUUAUCAGAAAACGCGAGUGAUAUUUACUCAAUUAUCUCAGAUUUCUACCUCUAAUUCCGUGGUUUAGAUCACUUUUCAUUAAGUCUCUUUUUGCCUGGUUACCGAAAAAAGGCAAAAGCAUUCUCAGAAAAUGUGUUUUUAAACAUGUUGAAUAGGAAAAAAAGAAAUCCAAGAAGAAAGCCCACAAUUCUUCGCAAUUUUAUGAUUCUCAGAUUGACAGUACAGACUCUUCCUUCAAAAUGUCUGAUCCAAAUGACAUGUGCCAAGCAUUUGAGGGCCAACUUUACAAGUAUACGAAUGUAAUGAAAGGUUACCAGUACAGGUGGUUCAUCUUGGAUCCGAAAAAAGGAGUUCUAAACUACUAUCUGGUCAGUAUAUCAACCCAUACUUAUUUUCCUAAUAGUUUCUUCUGAAUCCCUUCUACAUGGGUAUUUAAAAUUAAUUAAUUAGACUAUAGAUCAAAUUUCUUGAUAUGUUAUUUAUUCCAAGUAAAAUUCUAGUCCUCUGGGCAAUGGAAAUAACAAAAACAUGACAAUAAUAAAGCAUGUAUGAUUUCACUCACAUACUGUGUCAUGUUUAAACACACUAAAGCCCAACUCACACUAUCAAACUUCUCAUCUGACUUAAUUAAAAGGAAAGUUGGAUGGAAAGUUAAAGGCAAAUAAAUUUGAUUCAAUUACCCGUUCAACUUUCCAUUCAAUUGGCGCUGCCAAUUAAAGUAAGUUGAGUGUGACAUCACAUUCAAGUUUCUGUUCAAUUUUUCAUCAAAUUGUCGUUUUCUCUCAGUCAUAUCACACUAUCCAACUUUUCAUGCAACAAGUUGCAUUCAAGAUUUGAAUGAAAAGUUUGAUCGUAAUAAUUGGGCUUUAUCUACAGCCCUUUGGUUGAAUAUUCAUUCAGUCAUUGAUUAAUAAAUCAAGUCCUUUGACAAUCAGUUUUUCAUCCAUCAAAAAACAUUAGUAUGUAAGUAAUAUGGGAAAUAGGAAUAUCACUGUUCUGUCUCUUUAUUUAUUUUAUUUCAUUUUAUUUUGUACAUAAGAGCUGAUUGGCCAUAGUUCAUGUAAUGAAUGGGUUUAAACAGUAAGAAAAACAGAUUAAUAAUGUGAACAAUCAAUUAAAGCAGCUUAGAAUUAUACACAUUUUCGAAACAUGCUAUAGAUCAGUCAAGUUUUCAACAGCAGGGUGCACAAUACUAGAUCACGCGAUAAUUUAUCGCGUGAAAAUGUGGAAGGCCUUCCCGAUUUACAGAAGCGCGAUCACG